RNAcentral lists this ribosomal RNA (871 nucleotides) under uncultured bacterium. Its description in RNAcentral is "bacterial SSU rRNA". It matches the Rfam family "Bacterial small subunit ribosomal RNA", at positions 8 to 892 of the family's 1533-position model. The record is from RNAcentral.
AGAGUUUGAUCCUGGCUCAGGACGAACGCUGGCGGCGCGCCUAACACAUGCAAGUCGAACGAGCGAGAGAGAGCUUGCUUUCUCGAGCGAGUGGCGAACGGGUGAGUAACGCGUGAGGAACCUGCCUCAAAGAGGGGGACAACAGUUGGAAACGACUGCUAAUACCGCAUAAGCCCACGGUGCCGCAUGGCACAGAGGGAAAAGGAGCAAUCCGCUUUGAGAUGGCCUCGCGUCCGAUUAGCUAGUUGGUGAGGUAAUGGCCCACCAAGGCGACGAUCGGUAGCCGGACUGAGAGGUUGAACGGCCACAUUGGGACUGAGACACGGCCCAGACUCCUACGGGAGGCAGCAGUGGGGAAUAUUGCACAAUGGGGGAAACCCUGAUGCAGCGACGCCGCGUGGAGGAAGAAGGUCUUCGGAUUGUAAACUCCUGUUGUUGGGGAAGAUAAUGACGGUACCCAACAAGGAAGUGACGGCUAACUACGUGCCAGCAGCCGCGGUAAAACGUAGGUCACAAGCGUUGUCCGGAAUUACUGGGUGUAAAGGGAGCGCAGGCGGGAAGACAAGUUGGAAGUGAAAUCUAUGGGCUCAACCCAUAAACUGCUUUCAAAACUGUUUUUCUUGAGUAGUGCAGAGGUAGGCGGAAUUCCCGGUGUAGCGGUGGAAUGCGUAGAUAUCGGGAGGAACACCAGUGGCGAAGGCGGCCUACUGGGCACCAACUGACGCUGAGGCUCGAAAGUGUGGGUAGCAAACAGGAUUAGAUACCCUGGUAGUCCACACCGUAAACGAUGAUUACUAGGUGUUGGAGGAUUGACCCCUUCAGUGCCGCAGUUAACACAAUAAGUAAUCCACCUGGGGAGUACGACCGCAAG